Molecule: ribosomal RNA, 460 nt
Filed under: uncultured bacterium
Lineage: Bacteria
Description: partial 16S ribosomal RNA
Rfam family: Bacterial small subunit ribosomal RNA
Source: RNAcentral
CCUACGGGUGGCAGCAGUGAGGAAUAUUGGUCAAUGGACGAGAGUCUGAACCAGCCAAUUAGCGUGAAGGAUGACUGCCCUAUGGGUUGUAAACUUCUUUUAUAAAGGAAUAAAACGAGGCACGUGUGCCUUUUUGCAUUUACUUUAUGAAUAAGGAUCGGCUAACUCGGUGCCAGCAGCCGCGGUAGUACGGAGGAUCAGAGCUUAAUCCGGAUGUAUUGGGUUUAAAGGGAGCGUCGAUGGUUUGUUAAUUCGGUUGUGAAAGUUUGCGGCUCACACGGUAAAUUGCAAUUGAUACUGGCUGUCUUGAAUACAGUUGAGGUAGGCGGAAUUCGUGGUGUAGCGGUGAAAUGCUUAGAUAUCACGAAGAACCCCGAUUGCGAAGGCAGCUUACUAAACUGUGACUGACAUUGAUGCUCGAAAGUGUGGGUAUCAAACAGGAUUAGAUACCCGUGUAGUC